This 61-nucleotide transfer RNA is filed under the name Chelonia mydas (Green sea turtle). Lineage: Eukaryota; Metazoa; Chordata; Testudines; Cheloniidae. The record is from Rfam by way of RNAcentral.
AGAAGCCCGGUGGUGAAGGCACUCACCUGGGAUGUGGGAGACCUGGGUUCAAGUCCCUGCU